This 31-nucleotide non-coding RNA is filed under the name Mus musculus (house mouse). Lineage: Eukaryota; Metazoa; Chordata; Mammalia; Rodentia; Muridae. The record is from RNAcentral.
GCCCCUGGAGAAACUUAAGUUACACAGACGA